This 674-nucleotide ribosomal RNA is filed under the name Salmonella enterica subsp. houtenae. Its description in RNAcentral is "partial 23S ribosomal RNA". It matches the Rfam family "Bacterial large subunit ribosomal RNA", at positions 711 to 1297 of the family's 2925-position model. RNAcentral also lists the same sequence under 1 other name. The record is from RNAcentral. Lineage: Bacteria; Pseudomonadati; Pseudomonadota; Gammaproteobacteria; Enterobacterales; Enterobacteriaceae.
AGACCCGAAACCCGGUGAUCUAGCCAUGGGCAGGUUGAAGGUUGGGUAACACUAACUGGAGGACCGAACCGACUAAUGUUGAAAAAUUAGCGGAUGACCUGUGGCUGGGGGUGAAAGGCCAAUCAAACCGGGAGAUAGCUGGUUCUCCCCGAAAGCUAUUUAGGUAGCGCCUCGUGAAUUCAUCUCCGGGGGUAGAGCACUGUUUCGGCCAGGGGGCCAUCCCGGCUUACCAAUCCGAUGCAAACUGCGAAUACCGGAGAAUGUUAUCACGGGAGACACACGGCGGGUGCUAACGUCCGUCGUGAAGAGGGAAACAACCCAGACCGCCAGCUAAGGUCCCAAAGUCAUGGUUAAGUGGGAAACGAUGUGGGAAGGCCCAGACAGCCAGGAUGUUGGCUUAGAAGCAGCCAUCAUUUAAAGAAAGCGUAAUAGCUCACUGGUCGAGUCGGCCUGCGCGGAAGAUGUAACGGGGCUAAACCAUGCACCGAAGCUGCGGCAGCGAACGUAUCACCCAAGACAACUUUGCAUAGUUGACGAUUGACGGAGCGAAGCGACGUCAAAGCGUUUUACAACGUCGAGUUGGCUUAGGGAUACGUUCGUUGGGUAGGGGAGCGUUCUGUAAGCCGUUGAAGGUGUGUCGUGAGGCAUGCUGGAGGUAUCAGAAGUGCGAAUGC